GAUGAACGCUGGCGGCAUGCCUAAUACAUGCAAGUCGAACGAGAGGAAGGAAAGCUUGCUUUUCUGAAUCUAGUGGCGAACGGGUGAGUAACACGUAGGUAACCUGCCCAUGUGCCCGGGAUAACUUCUGGAAACGGAUGCUAAAACCGGAUAGGUAGCAGACAAGCAUUUGACUGCUAUUAAAGUGGCUAAGGCCAGGAACAUGGAUGGACCCGCGGUGCAUUAGCUAGUUGGUGAGGGAACGGCCCACCAAGGCGACGAUGCAUAGCCGGCCUGAGAGGGCGGACGGCCACAUUGGGACUGAGACACGGCCCAAACUCCUACGGGAGGCAGCAGUAGGGAAUUUUCGUCAAUGGGGGGAACCCUGAACGAGCAAUGCCGCGUGAGUGAGGAAGGUCUUCGGAUCGUAAAGCUCUGUUGUAAGAGAAAAACGACAUUCAUAGGGAAUGAUGAGUGAGUGAUGGUAUCUUACCAGGAAGUCACGGCUAACUACGUGCCAGCCGCCGCGGUAA
This 512-nucleotide ribosomal RNA is filed under the name uncultured bacterium. Its description in RNAcentral is "partial 16S ribosomal RNA". It matches the Rfam family "Bacterial small subunit ribosomal RNA", at positions 28 to 523 of the family's 1533-position model. The record is from RNAcentral.